RNAcentral lists this long non-coding RNA (603 nucleotides) under Pongo abelii (Sumatran orangutan). RNAcentral describes it as "lincRNA". The record is from RNAcentral. Lineage: Eukaryota; Metazoa; Chordata; Mammalia; Primates; Hominidae.
CCUGUCCCCACCGAGGGGACUAUGGGAGCCAUGGAGGGUGCGUGAGCAGCAGGUGAGACUGGAGCCAGCUGAAAACUGGGAGACCGACCCAGCCAACAAACAAUGUCGGUCUCUGUCCUGGCACCCGCAGGAAACAAGCUCCUACUUCCAGAAAAAGUGCUCCUGGGACUCAAGGAUACCAAGCAUCUGGGUAAGGUACAACGCUUAACCACUUAACACAAUCAGGAAGCAACAGCCACGCAUUUGGGAAAGGAACUUCAGCGUUGUGUGGCUCAGUCUCCAGACCUAACUUUCCCUUUGGUACAGACGCAGUGGUAGAUGCCUGUAAUCCCAACACUUAGGCAGGAGGAUCACUCGAGCCCAGAAGAUCAAGACUAGCGUGAGCAACAAAAUGGGCGUAGUGGUGAACACCUGUAAUCUCAGCUACUUGGAAGGCUGAGGCAGGAGAACUGCUUGAACCCGAGAGGCGGAGGUCGCAGUGAGCUGAGAUCGCAACAUUGCACUCCAGCCUGGGCUACAGAACAAGACUCUGUCUCAAAAAGAAAAAAAAAAGAAUUCAGAAUUCACCUGUCGCCUGCUGCUGCAGUGAACAGUGAGUGGCAC